Myotis brandtii (Brandt's bat) is the source of this 107-nucleotide non-coding RNA. The record is from Rfam. Lineage: Eukaryota; Metazoa; Chordata; Mammalia; Chiroptera; Vespertilionidae.
GAGCUCACUUCAGCAGCACAAAUACUAAAAUUGGAAUGAUACAGAGAAUAUUAGCAUGGCCUCUGUGCAAGGAUGACCUGCAAAUUCGUGAAGCAUUCCAUAUUUUU